CUUAAAUUACUAAUGUUCUAAAUGGAGAAUGUGAUUUGUUCACCUUCUCCAUUACUAAAAACUAACAUCAACGAAACCUACAUCUUCAAAAUGCUAAACCUAAGACCUAGACUUAAAUCCAACAACUUCCAAAUAUCCCUAAUACACAUAACCACACAGGCUACAUUUCUAGACCUAAUCAAUCAAUUCAAAUCUACCAACUACACAAAAAACAAAUUUAUCACUAUAAUCCUAAAACACUUUCAUUAAGCACUAAUCACCUUUUCAAAGAAAAAAUAAUUUCUCUGCCACAAUGUAUAUAACCAAACGCAAUGCAAAGUAUUUCCACUUUCUUCCUUUUCUUCUUGCAGCUUCAACAUCACAAUCAUGCCUCUCAAUCCUUCUCAGUAGACUCCAUAAUUCCUGCAGCCAUGAAAACACCUCAGGAUUAUAAUCAGUCCAAUAAAUUCACAAAUAAGCUUGAAGAUUGCAUAUUCAUCUCAAUCUUAGUAUACUCUCUAUAUAUCUUGUGACAUCAUCUCUCGGCCAAAGCAAAUCUUAGGUUUAGUUUUCUUCUUUUUUUUUCAAUAAAAUGACAUUUUUUGAGUGAGAAGAAUUUUAAUAAGAAAAUGAAGUUACUAGCUUUGAAAAGAAGGAAAUGAUUAUUCUCAAG
RNAcentral lists this unclassified non-coding RNA (652 nucleotides) under Hevea brasiliensis (rubber tree). Lineage: Eukaryota; Viridiplantae; Streptophyta; Magnoliopsida; Malpighiales; Euphorbiaceae. The record is from RNAcentral.